UAGCUGGUGGGGUAGUAGGCCCUACCAAGGCAACGAUCAGUAGCCGGCCUGAGAGGGUGAACGGCCACAUUGGGACUGAGACACGGCCCAAACUCCUACGGGAGGCAGCAG
RNAcentral lists this ribosomal RNA (111 nucleotides) under uncultured bacterium. RNAcentral describes it as "partial 16S ribosomal RNA". It matches the Rfam family "Bacterial small subunit ribosomal RNA", at positions 246 to 354 of the family's 1533-position model. The record is from RNAcentral.